GACGAACGCUGGCGGCGUGCUUAACACAUGCAAGUCGAACGGUGAAGGAAGAGCUUGCUCUUCCGGAUCAGUGGCGAACGGGUGAGUAACACGUGGGCAACCUGCCCUGACUCUGGGAUAACUCCUCGAAAGAGGUGCUAAUACCGGGUACGACCACUUCGGACAUCCGAUGGUGGUGGAAAGUUUUUCGGUCAGGGAUGGGCCCGCGGCCUAUCAGCUAGUUGGUGGGGUAAUGGCCUACCAAGGCGACGACGGGUAGCCGGCCUGAGAGGGCGACCGGCCACACUGGGACUGAGACACGGCCCAGACUCCUACGGGAGGCAGCAGUGGGGAAUAUUGCGCAAUGGGCGAAAGCCUGACGCAGCGACGCCGCGUGAGGGAUGAAGGCCUUCGGUUGUAACCUCUUUCAGCAGGGACGAAGCGAAAGUGACGGUACCUGCAGAAGAAGCACCGGCUAACUACGUGCCAGCAGCCGCGGUAA
RNAcentral lists this ribosomal RNA (481 nucleotides) under uncultured bacterium. RNAcentral's name for it is "bacterial SSU rRNA". It matches the Rfam family "Bacterial small subunit ribosomal RNA", at positions 28 to 523 of the family's 1533-position model. The record is from RNAcentral.